Long non-coding RNA from Empidonax traillii (willow flycatcher), 597 nucleotides. RefSeq lists it as uncharacterized. The transcript is spliced from 3 exons. The record is from RefSeq and is a predicted model, not a curated record. Lineage: Eukaryota; Metazoa; Chordata; Aves; Passeriformes; Tyrannidae.
AAACUGCUGACAGAAUUGUCCACAUUCUGCCCAUGACUGGAUGUCAUAAAAGACAUCCAUGACCUUUCCAUGGCUCGUUCAUUUCUAACCGAGGCUUCUUUGUAUACACGAGGUGUGGCCUUCAAUUUUAUCAUCCCAAAAUUGUGAAGUCUGUGAUCUGCUCCAGGGAUUAAUUAGAGCUGUUCCAGUAGCUGCAAGUAGGCAUCUAGGGGAACAAGUUUUGCAUGCCUUUCUGAGAUACUCAUGUGAUCUCCAGGCCACUUUGCCAUAUCUGAACACACACCUGGCUUGAAACCAGAGAGUUUGGAGGCUGGAAGUCUGCAAGCAAUGCAUGAUUAAACAAGAAGGGAAGUCAUUGUCAGCAGAGCAGGCUGCUGAAAUCCAAUGCGUGUAAAAACACAGCGCCUGUAGAUUCUCUGAAGGUGGAGGUGCUCUGAGGAAAGCCCACAAACAUCACACAGAAGGUUUUCCCCGUCUUUGUUAAAUGUGUGUACCUUCUGAACAUUGUCUGAUGACAGUGAGACAGCAUAAUUUUAGUGAGGUGGCAGUUGCCACAGAAACGGGUCACUGGAAGAGUCACACAGUUAAGGCAAGUAA